UAGAGUUUGAUCCUGGCUCAGAUUGAACGCUAGCGGGAUGCCUUACACAUGCAAGUCGAACGGCAGCACGGACUUCGGUCUGGUGGCGAGUGGCGAACGGGUGAGUAAUGUAUCGGAACGUGCCUAGUAGCGGGGGAUAACUACGCGAAAGCGUAGCUAAUACCGCAUACGCCCUACGGGGGAAAGCAGGGGAUCGCAAGACCUUGCACUAUUAGAGCGGCCGAUAUCGGAUUAGCUAGUUGGUGGGGUAACGGCUCACCAAGGCGACGAUCCGUAGCUGGUUUGAGAGGACGACCAGCCACACUGGGACUGAGACACGGCCCAGACUCCUACGGGAGGCAGCAGUGGGGAAUUUUGGACAAUGGGGGAAACCCUGAUCCAGCCAUCCCGCGUGUGCGAUGAAGGCCUUCGGGUUGUAAAGCACUUUUGGUAGGAAAGAAACGUUCCGGGUUAAUACCCCGGGAAACUGACGGUACCUGCAGAAUAAGCACCGGCUAACUACGUGCCAGCAGCCGCGGUAAUA
Molecule: ribosomal RNA, 523 nt
Filed under: uncultured bacterium
Lineage: Bacteria
Description: bacterial SSU rRNA
Rfam family: Bacterial small subunit ribosomal RNA
Source: RNAcentral